UGGGGAGUCGCCAAGUGGUAAGGCACCAGGUUCUGGUCCUGGCAUUCGCGGGUUCGAAUCCUGCCUCCCCAGCCA
RNAcentral lists this transfer RNA (75 nucleotides) under Candidatus Buchananbacteria bacterium. RNAcentral's name for it is "tRNA-Gln". It matches the Rfam family "tRNA". Rfam says of the family: Transfer RNA (tRNA) molecules are approximately 80 nucleotides in length. Their secondary structure includes four short double-helical elements and three loops (D, anti-codon, and T loops). The record is from RNAcentral. Lineage: Bacteria; Candidatus Buchananiibacteriota.